This 457-nucleotide ribosomal RNA is filed under the name uncultured bacterium. RNAcentral describes it as "bacterial SSU rRNA". It matches the Rfam family "Bacterial small subunit ribosomal RNA", at positions 340 to 789 of the family's 1533-position model. The record is from RNAcentral.
UACGGAAGGCAGCAGUGGGGAAUAUUGCACAAUGGGCGCAAGCCUGAUGCAGCCAUGCCGCGUGUAUGAAAAAGGCCUUCGGGUUGUAAAGUACUUUCAGUCGUGAGGAAGGUGUUAAGGUUAAUAACCUUAGCAAUUGACGUUAGCGACAGAAGAAGCACCGGCUAACUCCGUGCCAGCAGCCGCGGUAAUACGGAGGGUGCGAGCGUUAAUCGGAAUUACUGGGCGUAAAGGGCACGCAGGCGGUUAAUUAAGUUGGAUGUGAAAUCCCCGGGCUUAACCUGGGAAUGGCAUUCAAGACUGGUUAGCUAGAGUCUUGUAGAGGGGGUAGAAUUCCAUGUGUAGCGGUGAAAUGCGUAGAGAUGUGGAGGAAUACCGGUGGCGAAGGCGGCCCCCUGGACAAAGACUGACGCUCAUGUGCGAAAGCGUGGGGAGCAAACAGGGAUUAGAUACCCGU